GACGAACGCUGGCGGCGUGCUUAACACAUGCAAGUCGAACGGUGAACCUCUUCGGAGGGGAUCAGUGGCGAACGGGUGAGUAACACGUGGGCAACCUGCCCCCGGCUCUGGGAUAACUCCAAGAAAUUGGGGCUAAUACCGGAUGUUCACCGCUUCCCGCAUGGGUGGUGGUGGAAAGGGUUUCCGGCUGGGGAUGGGCCCGCGGCCUAUCAGCUUGUUGGUUGGGUAGUGGCCUACCAAGGCGACGACGGGUAGCCGGCCUGAGAGGGUGACCGGCCACACUGGGACUGAGACACGGCCCAGACUCCUACGGGAGGCAGCAGUGGGGAAUAUUGCGCAAUGGGCGGAAGCCUGACGCAGCGACGCCGCGUGGGGGAUGACGGCCUUCGGGUUGUAAACCUCUUUCAGCAGGGACGAAGCGCAAGUGACGGUACCUGCAGAAGAAGCACCGGCCAACUACGUG
Molecule: ribosomal RNA, 463 nt
Filed under: uncultured bacterium
Lineage: Bacteria
Description: partial 16S ribosomal RNA
Rfam family: Bacterial small subunit ribosomal RNA
Source: RNAcentral